RNAcentral lists this long non-coding RNA (678 nucleotides) under Homo sapiens (human). Its description in RNAcentral is "HSALNT0304960". Lineage: Eukaryota; Metazoa; Chordata; Mammalia; Primates; Hominidae. The record is from RNAcentral.
AGCCAGUAGCUCCUCCCACUUCCCGUGGUUUUCGGUUGAACCGAAACCUGGCCGUUGGCUGAGCGAGCGCGGGGUGUUUGGGAUGCGGCACGGCGAGGGGGAGCAGGCUUGGCUCGGGCGUAGGGAAUUGGUUUUUUUGUUUUAGCUAUCCAGGUUGUGACUGGUUUACAUAAUUACACGAUUAAGCCAUCAUUGUAGGAAAGGCUUUGCAGGAGAAAAAUGUCUUAACUGGAGGUCUUUGAGACAGAAAAACCCUGCCUCAGCCCUUGGGUCCUGAGAGUCGCGUUUCUUCUCCCCUUCGCUUAAAUAUGUAAACCAGAAUCAUUAUGUUUGGUUCAUGGAACGGAGGAAAAAAAUCCGUGUGCAGGGUCGAGACUGUCGUGGCGGAAGCCGCAGCACCCGGGAGGCAGGAAAAGGAAACCUGGACACAGGCACGUAUGAGGGAAGACAAUGUGGAGAGGCAAGGAGAAGAUGGCCACCUGCAAGCCAAGGAGAGAGGCCUGGAACACACUCUUACUUCAUGGCCCUCAGAAGGAGGCCACCCUGUCAACACCUUGAGCUCAGACUUCAGCCUCCAGAGCUGUGAAAAAAGAAAUUUUUGUUGUUUAAGCCCCUCAGUUUGGGGUAAUUUCUUAUGGUGGCCCUAGCCAAUGAAUACAGGUCCCAAAUAACUCUUCA